GAUGAACGCUGACAGAAUGCUUAACACAUGCAAGUCAACUUGAAUUUAGGUUUAUAACUUAGGUUUGGGUGGCGGACGGGUGAGUAACGCGUAAAGAACUUGCCUCACAGCUAGGGACAACAUUUAGAAAUGAAUGCUAAUACCUAAUAUUAUGGUUAUAGGGCAUCCUAUAAUUAUGAAAGCUAAAUGCACUGUGAGAGAGCUUUGCGUCCCAUUAGCUAGUUGGAGAGGUAACAGCUCACCAAGGCGAUGAUGGGUAGCCGGCCUGAGAGGGUGAACGGCCACAAGGGGACUGAGACACGGCCCUUACUCCUACGGGAGGCAGCAGUGGGGAAUAUUGGACAAUGGACCGAGAGUCUGAUCCAGCAAUUCUGUGUGCACGAUGAAGUUUUUCGGAAUGUAAAGUGCUUUCAGUUGGGAAGAAAGAAAUGACGGUACCAACAGAAGAAGUGACGGCUAAAUACGUGCCAGCCGCCGCUGUAACAC
This 486-nucleotide ribosomal RNA is filed under the name uncultured bacterium. RNAcentral describes it as "bacterial SSU rRNA". It matches the Rfam family "Bacterial small subunit ribosomal RNA", at positions 28 to 526 of the family's 1533-position model. The record is from RNAcentral.